This 568-nucleotide ribosomal RNA is filed under the name uncultured bacterium. RNAcentral describes it as "bacterial SSU rRNA". It matches the Rfam family "Bacterial small subunit ribosomal RNA", at positions 338 to 916 of the family's 1533-position model. The record is from RNAcentral.
CCUACGGGAGGCAGCAGUGGGGAAUAUUGCACAAUGGGCGAAAGCCUGAUGCAGCGACGCCGCGUGAGGGAUGACGGCCUUCGGGUUGUAAACCUCUUUCAGCAGGGAAGAAGCGAGAGUGACGGUACCUGCAGAAGAAGCGCCGGCUAACUACGUGCCAGCAGCCGCGGUAAUACGUAGGGCGCAAGCGUUGUCCGGAAUUAUUGGGCGUAAAGAGCUCGUAGGCGGCUUGUUGCGUCGGUUGUGAAAGCCCGGGGCUUAACCCCGGGUCUGCAGUCGAUACGGGCAGGCUAGAGUGUGGUAGGGGAGAUCGGAAUUCCUGGUGUAGCGGUGAAAUGCGCAGAUAUCAGGAGGAACACCGGUGGCGAAGGCGGAUCUCUGGGCCAUUACUGACGCUGAGGAGCGAAAGCGUGGGGAGCGAACAGGAUUAGAUACCCUGGUAGUCCACGCCGUAAACGUUGGGAACUAGGUGUUGGCGACAUUCCACGUCGUCGGUGCCGCAGCUAACGCAUUAAGUUCCCCGCCUGGGGAGUACGGCCGCAAGGCUAAAACUCAAAUGAAUUGACGG